AAGUCGUAACAAGGUUUCCGUAGGUGAACCUGCGGAAGGAUCAUUACCCAUUUUCAAAGGACUGCUGUUGCCUUAACCAGUGGCGGCAGUCUACUUUGAUUCUACCCAUGUUUUUUGCGCACUAUUUGUUUCCUUGGUGGGCUUGCCCACCAAUUGGAUCCCCCAAAACCACUUGCAAUUUCAGUCAGCGUCAGUAACAAUGUAAUCAAUUACAACUUUCAACAACGGAUCUCUUGGUUCUG
Molecule: unclassified non-coding RNA, 242 nt
Filed under: Plenodomus lingam (blackleg of rapeseed fungus)
Lineage: Eukaryota; Fungi; Ascomycota; Dothideomycetes; Pleosporales; Leptosphaeriaceae
Also listed under: 1 other name
Description: Leptosphaeria maculans partial internal transcribed spacer region
Rfam family: Eukaryotic small subunit ribosomal RNA (bases 1-46)
Source: RNAcentral